RNAcentral lists this ribosomal RNA (236 nucleotides) under uncultured bacterium. Its description in RNAcentral is "partial 16S ribosomal RNA". It matches the Rfam family "Bacterial small subunit ribosomal RNA", at positions 29 to 290 of the family's 1533-position model. The record is from RNAcentral.
AACGAACGCUGGCGGCAGGCUUAACACAUGCAAGUCGAACGGGCGCAGCAAUGCGUCAGUGGCAGACGGGUGAGUAACACGUGGGAACCUUCCUUAAGGUACGGGACAACUCAGGGAAACUUGAGCUAAUACCGUAUACGUCCGUGAGGAGAAAGAUUUAUCGCCUUUAGACGGGCCCNCGUCGGAUUAGCUAGUUGGUGAGGUAACGGCUCACCAAGGCUGAGAUGGUUAGCUGG